AAGACAUUUAAGCAGUUACUUUGAUUUUCCAACUCCUCUGGAGUUAUGAGCGGUUGAAAAUAUGUUUUAGGGCUAGUGUCCAGGACUUUGGCGGGAUUUUUGCCUAUUUAUCACGUUUUUAAAUAGCAAUAACUGGAAAACCGCUUGGAAAAUCAAUCAGCCGUUUAAAAGUCUUAUAUGUAGUUUUUUGUAAGCUUUCUAAUCAUGCAAGUCAUUUUUUCU
This is a non-coding RNA of Paramuricea clavata, 222 nucleotides long. The record is from the annotation of a GenBank genome assembly. NCBI's taxonomy places the organism in Eukaryota, Metazoa, Cnidaria, Anthozoa, Malacalcyonacea, Plexauridae.